AGAGUUUGAUCCUGGCUCAGGAUGAACGCUGGCGGCGUGCUUAACACAUGCAAGUCGAACGAACCUUCGGGUUAGUGGCGGACGGGUGAGUAACGCGUGAGAAUCUGCCCUCAGGAGGGGGACAACAGCUGGAAACGGCUGCUAAUACCCCAUAUGCCGAGAGGUGAAAUGAAUUUCGCCUGAGGAUGAGCUCGCGUCUGAUUAGCUAGUUGGUGAGGUAAGGGCUCACCAAGGCAUCGAUCAGUAGCUGGUCUGAGAGGAUGAUCAGCCACACUGGGACUGAGACACGGCCCAGACUCCUACGGGAGGCAGCAGUGGGGAAUUUUCCGCAAUGGGCGAAAGCCUGACGGAGCAACGCCGCGUGAGGGAUGAAGGCCUCUGGGCUGUAAACCUCUUUUCUCAAGGAAGAAGAUCUGACGGUACUUGAGGAAUAAGCCACGGCUAAUUCCGUGCCAGCAGCCGCGGUAAUACGGGAGUGGCAAGCGUUAUCCGGAAUUAUUGGGCGUAAAGCGUCCGCAGGCGGCCCAUCAAGUCUGCUGUUAAAAAGUGGAGCUUAACUCCAUCAUGGCAGUGGAAACUGUUGGGCUAGAGUGUGGUAGGGGCAGACGGAAUUCCCGGUGUAGCGGUGAAAUGCGUAGAUAUCGGGAAGAACACCAGUGGCGAAGGCGCUCUGCUGGGCCAUAACUGACGCUCAUGGACGAAAGCCAGGGGAGCGAAAGGGAUUAGAUACCCCUGUAGUCCUGGCCGUAAACGAUGAACACUAGGUGUCGGGGGAAUCGACCCCCUCGGUGUCGUAGCCAACGCGUUAAGUGUUCCGCCUGGGGAGUACGCACGCAAGUGUGAAACUCAAAGGAAUUGACGGGGGCCCGCACAAGCGGUGGAGUAUGUGGUUUAAUUCGAUGCAACGCGAAGAACCUUACCAGGGUUUGACAUCCUGCGAAUUUCUGGGAAACCGGAAAGUGCCUUCGGGAGCGCAGUGACAGGUGGUGCAUGGCUGUCGUCAGCUCGUGUCGUGAGAUGUUGGGUUAAGUCCCGCAACGAGCGCAACCCACGUCUUUAGUUGCCAGCAUUCAGUUGGGCACUCUAGAGAGACCGCCGGUGAUAAACCGGAGGAAGGUGUGGAUGACGUCAAGUCAUCAUGCCCCUUACAUCCUGGGCUACACACGUACUACAAUGCUACGGACAAAGGGCAGCAAACUCGCGAGAGCUAGCAAAUCCCAUAAACCGUGGCUCAGUUCAGAUCGUAGGCUGCAACUCGCCUACGUGAAGGAGGAAUCGCUAGUAAUCGCAGGUCAGCAUACUGCGGUGAAUACGUUCCCGGGCCUUGUACACACCGCCCGUCACACCAUGGAAGUUGGCCACGCCCGAAGCCGUUACUCCAACCCUUGUGGAGGAGGACGUCGAAGGUGGGGCUGAUGACUGGGGUGAAGUCGUAACAAGGUAACC
This 1446-nucleotide ribosomal RNA is filed under the name uncultured bacterium. RNAcentral's name for it is "bacterial SSU rRNA". It matches the Rfam family "Bacterial small subunit ribosomal RNA". The record is from RNAcentral.